Camelina sativa (false flax) is the source of this 1130-nucleotide long non-coding RNA. RefSeq lists it as uncharacterized. The record is from RefSeq and is a predicted model, not a curated record. NCBI's taxonomy places the organism in Eukaryota, Viridiplantae, Streptophyta, Magnoliopsida, Brassicales, Brassicaceae.
AUUUCUCUCUUUCUCUCCCGAUCAAAGGCUCGAUCCGACAAAGGAAGAUUUGCUUUAAUCGGAGGUUAUAGAAUCAGUGAAGUCCAUGGUCGGAGGCGAUUUGAAUCGGCAGAGAUCUUAUCGGAGGCGACUGUAGCGGUGGCGAUUUGAAUCGUCAUGGAGAUUAAACCGGUGGCGAUUUGAAGGAGUAGGCGAUUCAAUCGGAAGAGAUAGGAUGAAUUCGAAUGAGAGGGUAAGUUUAUCAGGGCAUUUGUAUGAUUAGCUAAACUGUUAGGUUGAUUUGAUUUUGGUUGCUAGAUAUUAGGGUUGUUUGAUGUUUGUUCGAGAAAUUAGGGUUCUUGGUGUGUUCUUCGAUCUGCUUUAAACGGAUUAGGGUUUUUAGUGUUAUUGUUUUUCAAUUUGGUCUGUUUGUGUUUAGUUUUUGGUGGGUUUGUGUUUCUUAACCGAUUGAUAAGUGAUGGUUUAAAGGGAUUAGGGUUCUUGAGAACCAUGUGAUCCGAUUUGCUCUGCUUGUGUUUAGUUAAUGGUGUGUUUGUGUUUUUUAACCGAUUGAUAAGUGAUGGUUUAAAUAGAUUAGGGUUCUUGAGAACCAUGUGAUCCGAUUUGUUCUGCUUGUGUUUAGUUUAUGGUGUGUUUGUGUUUUUUAACUGAUUGAUAAGUGAUGGUUUAAAGAGAUGUUUAGACAUUAUUGUUCUUGUUCUAUUUUGUGUUAAAGAGAUUUUGGUUGUAGUAUUAUCCACUCAUUGUGUUUGGUUGUCUUUGUUUGAUAUUCAUUGUAAUUUACUUAUUAACGAAAUUGUGAUAUAUGUCUCUCUUUUGUAUUGAGGUUAAAUGGGACAAAAAUGAGAUCGAUGGAUUGAUGAGUGUAGAGUGUGCUUCGGCCAUGGAGGAAGGUACAAAACGAUGACCCGUGACACAUAACGAAGAAGGUAGAUAAGAUGAUGUUCACAUAAAGAAGAAGGUAGAUUCGUAUGAUCUUUAGCAAAGAUGACCUGUGACACAUAAAAGAAGAAGGUGGCUUCGAAGAUGUGGACAUAAUUGUAGAAGUACAUUUUCACUUUUGAAUAUUGUUGUACUUUCACCACAUUAUUGUUGUACUUUCAAUGUUUGUACCACAUGUUUUCUUAUCA